UUGAACAAUGACAACCUUCAAAAUAAAAUUCUUUUUUGUUUUCUUUUUUUUUUUUAAUUUUGUUGUCAGUUCAAAUAAAAUUUUCAUAUUAUUAUUUUCAUCGCAAUUUUUCCAUAUUUACAUAUUUUCUAACUCUUUCCUCGUCUUCCACGAAGAUUUCAAGACAUGAAUAUUUGACAACGACUACAGCGCAGUCUGCCGGAUCCUAUUUGAUCGUAUUGUGAAUCUAAACCAUCCUCAAACCCCCUGGAAUACACACAAAAAAUUUUAUCAAAAUCGGUCCAGCCGUUUAGGAGGAGUUCAAUGACUAACACACGUACAGAAGAUUUAUAUAUCAGAUGAGAUACAUAAAUUUAGAAAGAGUUACAUUACUCAGAAGGGCUACCUCUGUCAGGGAGGUAAGCAUUCACUUGGAUAGUAGAGCAGCAAUCCUGGCCAUAAAUUCGCUCAAAACUACACAAGGAGUUCUUAGCAUCUCUAUCAAUAGCUUCUAGCUACUGUCAUAUAAAAAUCGUUUAGGUCCCAGAUCAUAGCUGCAUCGCUGUGGACUUCAAAGCCGAUGAGCUUGAGUGUAAGGGCACCCAAACUGCAAUCUCAUCAGGUUGGGAACAAACUGGUGUCCAUAUCCUAGUGCCCCUCUACGUUGGAUCAGUGGUCGUUGAAUGAAUACGGUAGGCGUUGGACAACACCAAGUACCUGUGGGACUACGAGAUCAUUCUGGCCAAAGUGGAUCGCAGUAGAAGCACCGAGUUUGAUUGGGCUGCAUGCCGUGAGGCUAAAUUUCCUGACGAAUGCAAAUUGCAAAAGCUGCAAGCAAGAAGAAGAGAUUGAGACAUCGAGACACUUUUGUUGGAAUCCCCGCCUUUCAAAUGAGUUAGUCUAAAACGAAUAUAAUUGCCAGGGUCUCAAUAAGCCGCAAAUAUCAUUUCAUUUUUUCUGGGCUCUGCACCAAUUACUAUGGAAUAUCCAUGGGUAAGUGACCAGUCAACACCGAGCGAAUGAUGUGUGUUGACGGAAAGCGAGCAAUGUUGAUGUUGCAAAAAGCGGCCGAAAUAGUCCGGCGAGACUGUGACUGAAGCUGAUUAAUCGUUGCAAAGGUCAAUCGUUGAGCCGGACAAGCGAGCGAGCCAACCCAGCCCACAGCCCGGCAAUCCAAGCGCAACGCCGAAAUCGUAUAUUACGCUAACUCGCUUACUCCCCUGUCAUGUCAUUGACUCUAAUGUGUUUUCAUUCGGUUUUUUUUCCGUUUUGUUGGCAUUAACGCAACGAAACUAUCUGUGGGUCUGCAAGUGUUGAAGUGUCUACACAUUAGCACAAGG
Molecule: long non-coding RNA, 1319 nt
Organism: Zeugodacus cucurbitae (melon fly)
Lineage: Eukaryota; Metazoa; Arthropoda; Insecta; Diptera; Tephritidae
Exons: 4
Source: RefSeq, a predicted model, not a curated record